This is a non-coding RNA of Paramuricea clavata, 201 nucleotides long. Lineage: Eukaryota; Metazoa; Cnidaria; Anthozoa; Malacalcyonacea; Plexauridae. The record is from the annotation of a GenBank genome assembly.
GGCAUGUACUAAAAGGCGAAACGUCGAAACGAAACGACCGAAACGAAACGACCGAAACCAUCGAAACGGCCGAAACGACCGAAACGAAACGACCGAAACGAAACAACCGAAACGAAACGACCGAAACGAAACAACCGAAACGAAACGACCGAAAAUGUAAAUUACAGGAAAAUUGAAAAAUGCGGAUACGGACGGACGGAC